This 306-nucleotide ribosomal RNA is filed under the name uncultured bacterium. RNAcentral's name for it is "bacterial SSU rRNA". It matches the Rfam family "Bacterial small subunit ribosomal RNA", at positions 200 to 507 of the family's 1533-position model. The record is from RNAcentral.
GCAUACGUCACAACGGCAAAAGAUGAGCAUGCGUCCCAUUAGCUAGUUGGUAAGGUAACGGCUUACCAAGGCUACGAUGGGUAGGGUCCUGAGAGGGAGACUCCCCCACACUGGUACUGAGACACGGACCAGACUCCUACGGGAGGCAGCAGUGAGGAAUAUUGGACAAUGGGCGCAAGCCUGAUCCAGCCAUGCCGCGUGCAGGAUGACGGUCCUAUGGAUUGUAAACUGCUUUAUACAGGAAGAAACACUCCGACGUGUCGGAGCUUGACGGUACUGUAAGAAUAAGGAUCGGCUAACUCCGUG